UGAGUAACCUGCCCUUAACUCUGGGAUAAGCCUGGGAAACUGGGUCUAAUACCGGAUAUGACUCCUCAUCGCAUGGGUGGGGGGUGGAAAGCUUUAUUGUUGGUUUUGGAUGGACUCGCGGCCUAUCAGCUUGUUGGUGAGGUAAUGGCUCACCAAGGCGACGACGGGUAGCCGGCCUGAGAGGGUGACCGGCCACACUGGGACUGAGACACGGCCCAGACUCCUACGGGAGGCAG
This 236-nucleotide ribosomal RNA is filed under the name uncultured bacterium. Its description in RNAcentral is "partial 16S ribosomal RNA". It matches the Rfam family "Bacterial small subunit ribosomal RNA", at positions 118 to 351 of the family's 1533-position model. The record is from RNAcentral.